ACACACUCGAUUCCUUAGCCCUCAGGCCUAAAGAGUGGCCUGAGUGGCUUAAAGAGAAAAGGGGAAAAGUGAAACUGAAAUGGACUUGAAGUCUUGUGACAAACAAGUUCACUUCAAACAAUU
RNAcentral lists this small nucleolar RNA (123 nucleotides) under Echinops telfairi (small Madagascar hedgehog). RNAcentral's name for it is "Small nucleolar RNA SNORA61 (ENSETEG00000026195.1)". Lineage: Eukaryota; Metazoa; Chordata; Mammalia; Afrosoricida; Tenrecidae. The record is from RNAcentral.